Schizosaccharomyces pombe (fission yeast) is the source of this 1257-nucleotide non-coding RNA. Lineage: Eukaryota; Fungi; Ascomycota; Schizosaccharomycetes; Schizosaccharomycetales; Schizosaccharomycetaceae. The record is from the annotation of a GenBank genome assembly.
UAAUAUUAAUUUUAUUAAAAAUUGGUUAUUAUACGUCUACAAAUAAAUUAUAUGCUUGUACUGUUUAGUGAAUUGUUUGUGUAUUAGAAUGCCAGAACUAAAAUUGCUUUGCUGAAUUACCACGUUUUUAACGUAGAUCUGUUGUUAUUAUAUGACAUCGAUGAGCAUGUCUCCACCAAAAGAUCUCCGGUAUUUUGACAGAAACGUCCUUCCUUCCUGAGAAGUGUUAGUAGAUUGAAACAUUUAAUGCAUGGUUUAAACAGAAAUUAAAAUCAUAUACAACAAAAGUCUGUUUUUUUUUUUUUGGUUAUGUUAAACUUACCUUGGCAUCGAAUCCACUUAUUACACUGGUGACACUUUCCCUCAAUCAUGUACUUUUUAUUUGGCACCCCAAUCGCAUUCCUGGUUUUUCUAAGCCUUACCGUUCUAAACUCAAUUGGCGGUUGGUAUGGUCUUCCUUUGCUGUGAAUUCCGUGGACGAAAUUCAUGUGGUACCAAUAUGCGCUGGUCUUGGUACGUAGCCAAAUAAAUUCACCUUGAUGACUACAGAUUGGGCACAAGCCCAGCUUUGAUAUUCCAUGUCCACGAGUAAAUCUAGGAACAUAAAAGUCAUCUUUAGGAGCGCUUUUUGCAGUCACUUCAUCAGGAUAAUGUGGCAUAUUAUUUGGUACCAGACUGACAUCUGGCAAUUUCGUGUAAAAAUGGGGAAAUCUUGAAGUUAUAUGAUUUUCCAAAACCAUUUUACAUUGAACAAGGUGCUGCUGUGUGUAUUCCGUUGUCAAAACGGGGUUAAAUUUAUUGUUUAAAACCAUGUACGGUGUUUCGUUUUCCUUUGAAGCAUCAUUUGCCAUAUUAAAAUUGCAGAUUGUUUGACGUCUAUUGUUUGAAUGAUUUAAAUUUGAUGAGAAGGUUUGUAAAUCGUGUAGAGGUUCUGCAUUAUGAUGAGUAUACGGAGAAGUUUGAUUGACAUGGUUGAUGUUUAUUAUAGGACCAUCCAAAGCAAAAUCGUCUAAAUUAUCUUUAAAGAAAUCGGCAAAUUCAAAUGUUGCGCAAGAGUCUGAUGAGUCGUAUGGUUCGUCUGCUCCACCAUCGAUUAUUGUGUUUUUUGAAAGAGAGCAAGCAGAAGAAGGCUCUUCUAAGUCAGAUUGAUGGGGUAACUUUGAAUUUGAAAAACAUUUAGGAGUAUAAAACACGGAAUUUGGUUCAGGAACUUCGGAUAAUAAGGUGUUGUUUAAAUAUAUAAAAUUCUCAAUUUCG